RNAcentral lists this long non-coding RNA (622 nucleotides) under Homarus americanus (American lobster). RNAcentral's name for it is "uncharacterized LOC121868094, transcript variant X1". Lineage: Eukaryota; Metazoa; Arthropoda; Malacostraca; Decapoda; Nephropidae. The record is from RNAcentral.
ACCCCGAGCAGUUAUUUUCGUAAGGCACUUUCUCCAACACUGCCUACAGUGGACCUGAUGUGAACUAGAAUGAAGUUGGCUGGACAUGAAAUUUACUGGACCUCAAGUAGUCUGUGGAAGCUUUAAGGACCAACAACACAUCUCGGUACGACAAGUGGAGACUCGACCGUACAGACCCGUCCGGUCUCGCACACGACGCCGUUAACGGCAAACGGAGAAACGCCGCCGCCGCCGACCCGCGGGAGGUACUUUCUCCAUCACUGCCUAAAGUGGACCUGAUGUGAACUAGAAUGAAGUUGGCUGGACCUGCAGUGAAGUGGACCUGAAGCUAACUGGACCUCAAGUAGUCUGUGGAAGCUUCAAGGACCAACAACACAUCUCGGUACGACAAGUCGAGACUCGACCGUACAGACCCGUCCGGUCUCGCACACGACGCCGUUAACGGCAAACGGAGAAACGCCGCUGGGAGGUAAUACCGACGUCGUCACUUCACGUCGUGUCAUUGGGCGUACGAGCCGAGUGUAUUAGAGUACAGGUUGUACCUCUCUAGUCCGGCAUUCUGUGAUCCGGAACGAUUUUAGUUUGUCCAAUAGGUAGAUAGGCAGCUUUUUUUUUUUUUUAA